This 448-nucleotide ribosomal RNA is filed under the name uncultured bacterium. Its description in RNAcentral is "bacterial SSU rRNA". It matches the Rfam family "Bacterial small subunit ribosomal RNA", at positions 329 to 794 of the family's 1533-position model. The record is from RNAcentral.
CGCCAGACUCCUACGGGAGGCAGCAGUGGGGGAUAUUGCACAAUGGGGGAAACCCUGAUGCAGCGACGCCGCGUGGGUGAAGAAGCGCCUCGGCGCGUAAAGCCCUGUCAGCAGGGAAGAAAAUGACGGUACCUGAAGAAGAAGCCCCGGCUAACUACGUGCCAGCAGCCGCGGUAAUACGUAGGGGGCAAGCGUUAUCCGGAUUUACUGGGUGUAAAGGGGGCGCAGACGGCGAUGCAAGCCAGGAGUGAAAGCCCGGGGCCCAACCCCGGGACUGCUCUUGGAACUGCAUGGCUGGAGUACAGGAGGGGCAGGCGGAAUUCCUAGUGUAGCGGUGAAAUGCGUAGAUAUUAGGAGGAACACCGGUGGCGAAGGCGGCCUGCUGGACUGUGACUGACGUUGAGGCCCGAAGGCGUGGGGAGCAAACAGGAUUAGAUACCCUUGUAUA